This 433-nucleotide ribosomal RNA is filed under the name uncultured bacterium. RNAcentral describes it as "partial 16S ribosomal RNA". It matches the Rfam family "Bacterial small subunit ribosomal RNA", at positions 29 to 507 of the family's 1533-position model. The record is from RNAcentral.
AACGAACGCUGGCGGCAGGCUUAACACAUGCAAGUCGAGCGAGACCUUCGGGUCUAGCGGCGGACGGGUGAGUAACGCGUGGGAACGUGCCCUUCUCUACGGAAUAGCCCCGGGAAACUGGGAGUAAUACCGUAUACGCCCUUUGGGGGAAAGAUUUAUCGGAGAAGGAUCUGCCGGCGUUGGAUUAGGUGGUUGGUGGGGUAAUGGCACACCAGGCCGACAAUCCAUAGCUGGUUUGAGAGGAUGAGCCGCCACACUGGGACUGAGACACGGCCCAGACUCCUACGGGAGGGAGCAGUGGGGGAUCUUAGAAAGUGGGGGCAAUGCUGAACUAGCCAGGCCGCGAGAGUGAUGAAGGCCUGAAGGAAGUAAAGCGCUAUCAGCUGGGAAGAUAAUGACGGUACCAACAGAAAAAGCCCCGGCUAACUCCGUG